This is a long non-coding RNA of Raphanus sativus (radish), 1062 nucleotides long. RefSeq lists it as uncharacterized. The record is from RefSeq and is a predicted model, not a curated record. The transcript is spliced from 2 exons. Lineage: Eukaryota; Viridiplantae; Streptophyta; Magnoliopsida; Brassicales; Brassicaceae.
AUGUAAGAGCAAUUGCAUUGGAUAUACAUAAAAAAAAGAUUAUUUAGGUAUAUGGAGAAGGUACUGUAAAUUCUCGGUAAUAACCCUAGCUGUCUCAUUCUCUCUCCUUCUCUUGCGUUGUCUCUUUUCCUCUCCUUUCCUUCUCUCUCCUCCAUCUCCAUGUCCUCUCCUCCCAAUCCCACCGCCACCAUCUCUCGUCUCUCCCUCUCCGAUUCCAAUCCAUCCAGCUCAAUCCCCCUUCCUCUGUGAAUCGCCAUCAUCGGAUUCGCAACUACGGCCAAUUACUCGCGGAAAUCCUAGUCUUCCAAGGCCACACCCUCCUCGCCUACUCUCGAUCUGAUCACUCCGUCUACGCCCGCCGCGGCGUCUUUUUCUUCACCACAGAUCUCCACGACCUCUGCGAACGCCAUCUCAUCCUCUCCACCGAGAAAGUCCUCAAAACCCUCCUGUUUCAGAGACCUGCAACCUCGAGCCCAACCUACUUUCAUGAAUGGUGGAUUGAUGAGAGGCACAUAGAUCGUCGGACUUGCGAGAAGGCGAGCUCCAGUCACAACUGCUGCGGCUAGGGUCUGCUGGGUCUGAUGGCUCUGCCUAUAUCUUCUCUACUCCUCCCCCAACUGUCUGAUAAGGAUCUGAAACUCACUUCUCUAUAUAAUUAAACACCACUGCCACUGUUGUUAUCACCUUUAAAAAUAACAUUUGUUUUGAUUGAUGGAUCUUGAAGAAAUAAAAAACAAACCCGACACAAAUCCUUAUUGGCCAAAACGUAUUGACUUCUUGUUGUUGUUGUGUCAUUACUUCUAAGGAGUUAAAGAUCUACAAAAAGAGUGUAGAAAGAGGUGAGGUGGAGACUACAAGAAAGACUCUUCAAAGAAAAGGAACCAGUUUUAAAGUAGUUGUGAUUGAAAUGAAGAGUAUAGAAAGAACUCAAGUUGAUGAUGAGUUCAUGCUCUCCUAUACAUUGAAUACCAUGACUUGUACACUAUUGAGCAAGAGGAGAAGAAUGUAAAUUGGUUUUGCCUCAUAUAACCAAUUACCUAAAUAAAAAGAUUUGUACAUGGA